CCUACGGGGGGCAGCAGUGGGGAAUAUUGGACAAUGGGGGCAACCCUGAUCCAGCCAUGCCGCGUGUGUGAAGAAGGCCCGCGGGUUGUAAAGCACUUUUAGUGAGGAAGAACGCCUGGUGGUUAAUACCCAUCAGGAAAGACAUCACUCACAGAAGAAGCACCGGCUAACUCCGUGCCAGCAGCCGCGGUAAUACGGAGGGUGCGAGCGUUAAUCGGAAUUACUGGGCGUAAAGCGCGCGUAGGUGGCUUGAUAAGCCGGUUGUGAAAGCCCCGGGCUCAACCUGGGAACGGCAUCCGGAACUGUCAAGCUAGAGUGCAGGAGAGGAAGGUAGAAUUCCCGGUGUAGCGGUGAAAUGCGUAGAGAUCGGGAGGAAUACCAGUGGCGAAGGCGGCCUUCUGGACUGACACUGACACUGAGGUGCGAAAGCGUGGGUAGCAAACAGGAUUAGAUACCCGUGUAGUC
This 465-nucleotide ribosomal RNA is filed under the name Vreelandella stevensii. Its description in RNAcentral is "partial 16S ribosomal RNA". It matches the Rfam family "Bacterial small subunit ribosomal RNA", at positions 338 to 795 of the family's 1533-position model. The record is from RNAcentral. Lineage: Bacteria; Pseudomonadati; Pseudomonadota; Gammaproteobacteria; Oceanospirillales; Halomonadaceae.